GUCCUCAGUACGGAUUGCAGUCUGCAACUCGACUGCAUGAAGCUGGAAUCGCUAGUAAUCCCAGAUCAGCACGCUGGGGUGAAUACGUUCCCGGGCCUUGUACACACCGCCCGUCACAUCACGAAAGUUGGUUGUACCGGAAGCCGGUGCUCUAACCCUUCGGGGAGGUAGCCGUCCAUGGUAUGCCCAGCGAUUGGGGUGAAGUCGUAACAAGGUAGCUGUAGGAGAACCUGUGGCUGGAUCACCUCCUUUCUAGG
RNAcentral lists this ribosomal RNA (257 nucleotides) under Chloroflexota bacterium. RNAcentral's name for it is "Chloroflexi bacterium partial 16S ribosomal RNA". It matches the Rfam family "Bacterial small subunit ribosomal RNA", at positions 1284 to 1533 of the family's 1533-position model. The record is from RNAcentral. Lineage: Bacteria; Bacillati; Chloroflexota.